This 519-nucleotide long non-coding RNA is filed under the name Homo sapiens (human). RNAcentral's name for it is "HSALNT0364498". Lineage: Eukaryota; Metazoa; Chordata; Mammalia; Primates; Hominidae. The record is from RNAcentral.
GUGGCUGCUUCCUGCUGAAUAGGGGCACUGUAGUCAGGGUUUGGGUUUUGAAGUACUGCGUGUCGUCUUCAGAGUUGUUUUCCUGGAGGCGCUGAUACCGGACUUGGUGGAGAAGGAUGGUAUGAAUGUGUUUCUAGGUGGCUGCCUGGACAAGGGAGUUCAGCCUUUGGGAGAUAAAGCAGAAUAUAAAGGGUCACACUCUGUCACCCAGACUGGAGUGCAGUGGCGCAAUCUCAGCUCGCUGUAGACUCAACCUCCUGGGCUCAAGCGAUUCUCCCACCUCAGCCUUCUGACUUUGCCUCGGGAGAGAAAAAGAGAGUCGAUUCCGAGUACAGCUGGGCCACUGGGACUGCAUUCCUGCCUGUGAGGAGGACAGCCUGUCAAUGAGCCAGAAGGGGCUAACAGAGGUUGUACUUACAGGUUCUCAAGUUUUGCUAUCAUAAACACCCAAAGUACACCACGCCGGCAAGCUGAAGGCUGACAGGAUAGAAAACUUGCACAAGACAGUUAACAUUGUAG